Oxyura jamaicensis (ruddy duck) is the source of this 447-nucleotide long non-coding RNA. RefSeq lists it as uncharacterized. The transcript is spliced from 3 exons. NCBI's taxonomy places the organism in Eukaryota, Metazoa, Chordata, Aves, Anseriformes, Anatidae. The record is from RefSeq and is a predicted model, not a curated record.
CUCUUUCCUCCAUGUGCUGCACCCUGCUGCUAGAGGAUUAUUAAGAAAAUAGAGAGGGAGCUGAGUGCCGUGAGAUGGCCAGGGGUCUAGAUCACACAGUACACCAGGAAAAGCUGAAGCAACAAGAAUAUGGGUGGAAGAAGAGAUCCCAGAUAAGUAAAAAGAGCAGCUUCUGUAUGAGGAGAAAUUAAAGGGACCAGACCUCUAAGAGGAUUUUGGUCCUAAAUAUUCCAGGAAGAGAGAGAUGGGAAUAGAAGAAACACCAACCAUGAACAGCCACAAAUCUGCUUACAUUUUGAAGCAACCAUCCAACUUAAAAACCAAAUGAGGCUUUCUUCCCUCAGUAACAAUCACGAAUAAUGUAACUCCCAGAUUUUUUUUUUUUUAAAACUCCUUCAAUUCAUAAACCACGGGCUUUGCUAUGGCCUCAGUCCUUUGAGAAGAUCC